AGUAACGCGUGGGCAACCUGCCCCACACUGGGGGACAACAGCUGGAAACGGCUGCUAAUACCGCAUAAGCGCACAGCUUCGCAUGAAGCAGUGUGAAAAAUUCCGGUGGUGUGGGAUGGGCCCGCGUCUGAUUAGCUAGUUGGUGAGGUAACGGCUCACCAAGGCGACGAUCAGUAGCCGGCCUGAGAGGGUGGACGGCCACAUUGGGACUGAGACACGGCCCAGACUCCUACGGAAGGCAGCAG
RNAcentral lists this ribosomal RNA (245 nucleotides) under uncultured bacterium. Its description in RNAcentral is "partial 16S ribosomal RNA". It matches the Rfam family "Bacterial small subunit ribosomal RNA", at positions 109 to 354 of the family's 1533-position model. The record is from RNAcentral.